RNAcentral lists this ribosomal RNA (459 nucleotides) under uncultured bacterium. Its description in RNAcentral is "partial 16S ribosomal RNA". It matches the Rfam family "Bacterial small subunit ribosomal RNA", at positions 338 to 795 of the family's 1533-position model. The record is from RNAcentral.
CCUACGGGAGGCAGCAGUGAGGAAUAUUGGUCAAUGGCCGGAAGGCUGAACGAGCCAAGCCGCGUGAAGGACGAAGGUGCCAAGCAUUGUAAACUUCUUUUGUCAAGGGACAAAAUCAGGCUCGAGAGCCUGACCGAGGGUACUUGAAGAAAAAGCAUCGGCUAACUCCGUGCCAGCAGCCGCGGUAAUACGGAGGCUGCGAGCGUUAUCCGGAUUUAUUGGGUUUAAAGGGUGCGUAGGCGGACUGUUAAGUCAGCGGGAAAAGCCCGGGGCUCAACCCCGGCGAGCCGUGGAAACUGGCUGUCUUGAGAUGUCGAGAGGUAUGCGGAAUGCGCAGUGUAGCGGUGAAAUGCUUAGAUAUUGCGCAGAACUCCGAUUGCGAAGGCAGCAUACCGGCGGCGAUCUGACGCUGAGGCACGAAAGCGUGGGUAUCGAACAGGAUUAGAUACCCGAGUAGUC